Molecule: long non-coding RNA, 481 nt
Filed under: Callithrix jacchus (white-tufted-ear marmoset)
Lineage: Eukaryota; Metazoa; Chordata; Mammalia; Primates; Cebidae
Description: lncRNA (ENSCJAG00000058228.2)
Source: RNAcentral
AUUUUUCUUUUUAAACGUUCUGUGUUUACACAACUGUCCAUCCCUGAAUUGUCUCCCUAGCUUAUCUUUUCCUAGCCUCUGUUCCUGGGGAGGAAAACGUCCUGCAAGAAUCAUCAAGCUACACCACCACAAACAACCCAGUAAAUCAGGUUUUCCACAUGUUUGUUUCAGGUCACAGAACCAGUUUAAACUGCAUCCCUUUUGAAUGGGGCCAGACUCACACGAGGAGUGGUGACUGUACGAGUUAAUGUGGUUUUACUACCCAGAAGGUGAGAUUUAGCUGUCAUUUUAGAGCUCAUUUAAAACAUUCUCUAUAACUUCCUUCUAGUGUUUCUAAGAUUCUAUUUUGUAGAGUAGUUACAAUUUUGGAUUUAAGAUCCUCCCUUUUGAGCCUUUGUAAGCUAGUGUAGAGGUUCAUGAUGUGUGAUGAGUUAUAAUUUUUCUGAGGCCCAAAUUUGAGCCUCACGUGCUGUUGGAAUGG